This 66-nucleotide transfer RNA is filed under the name Graphomya rufitibia. RNAcentral's name for it is "tRNA-His". Lineage: Eukaryota; Metazoa; Arthropoda; Insecta; Diptera; Muscidae. The record is from RNAcentral.
GUUUAAAUAGUUUAAUUAAAAUAUUGAUUUGUGGUGUCAAUGAUAAGAUAUAAUUCUUUUUAAACC